CUGGCCCUGAAUCAAGGCCAGCAGCUUCCUGACACUGUUGGUUUUAAGCAGGAGCCUAAAGAGAUGUCUAUGGCCAUUUCAGAACUUGGGCAGUAAAAUGGUCAAUUCAUUAGAAAGAAACAACU
This is a small nucleolar RNA of Cavia porcellus (domestic guinea pig), 125 nucleotides long. The record is from Ensembl. Lineage: Eukaryota; Metazoa; Chordata; Mammalia; Rodentia; Caviidae.